Molecule: ribosomal RNA, 301 nt
Filed under: uncultured bacterium
Lineage: Bacteria
Description: partial 16S ribosomal RNA
Rfam family: Bacterial small subunit ribosomal RNA
Source: RNAcentral
CAGUAGCCACGGGAAUACGAAGGGGGCUAGCGUUGUUCGGAAUUACUGGGCGUAAAGCGCACGUAGGCGGAUAUUUAAGUCAGUGGUGAAAUCCCAGAGCUCAACUCUGGAACUGCCUUUGAUACUGGGUAUCUUGAGUAUGGAAGAGGUGAGUGGAAUUCCGAGUGUAGAGGUGAAAUUCGUAGAUAUUCGGAGGAACACCAGUGGCGAAGGCGGCUCACUGGUCCAUUACUGACGCUGAGGUGCGAAAGCGUGGGGAGCAAACAGGAUUAGAUACCCCAGUAGUCCCUGUCUCUUAUAC